UUAAAUUGAAGAGUUUGAUCAUGGCUCAGAUUGAACGCUGGCGGCAGGCCUAACACAUGCAAGUCGAACGGUAACAGGAAUCAGCUUGCUGAUUCGCUGACGAGUGGCGGACGGGUGAGUAAUGUCUGGGAAACUGCCCGAUGGAGGGGGAUAACUACUGGAAACGGUAGCUAAUACCGCAUAACGUCGCAAGACCAAAGAGGGGGACCUUCGGGCCUCUUGCCAUCGGAUGUGCCCAGAUGG
RNAcentral lists this ribosomal RNA (243 nucleotides) under Escherichia sp. E4742. RNAcentral's name for it is "partial 16S ribosomal RNA". It matches the Rfam family "Bacterial small subunit ribosomal RNA", at positions 1 to 238 of the family's 1533-position model. The record is from RNAcentral. Lineage: Bacteria; Pseudomonadati; Pseudomonadota; Gammaproteobacteria; Enterobacterales; Enterobacteriaceae.